This 479-nucleotide ribosomal RNA is filed under the name uncultured bacterium. RNAcentral's name for it is "bacterial SSU rRNA". It matches the Rfam family "Bacterial small subunit ribosomal RNA", at positions 32 to 521 of the family's 1533-position model. The record is from RNAcentral.
AAUCAACGCUGGCGGCGUGCCUCAGACAUGCAAGUCGAACGAUUAAAGCUCUCUUCGGAGAGUGCAUAAAGUGGCGCACGGGUGAGUAACACGUAAGUAAUCUACCUUCGAGUGGGGAAUAACGUCCGGAAACGGACGCUAAUACCGCAUAAUGCAGCGGCAUCGCAAGAUGACAGUUGUUAAAGAUUUAUCGCUUGAAGAGGAGCUUGCGGCAGAUUAGCUAGUUGGUAAGGUAAUGGCUUACCAAGGCUACGAUCUGUAACCGGUCUAAGAGGACGGUCGGUCACACUGACACUGAAUAACGGGUCAGACUCCUACGGGAGGCAGCAGUCGGGAAUUUUGGGCAAUGGGCGAAAGCCUGACCCAGCAACGCCGCGUGAAGGAUGAAGUAUUUCGGUAUGUAAACUUCGAAAGAAUGGGAAGAAUAAAUGACGGUACCAUUUAUAAGGUCCGGCUAACUACGUGCCAGCAGCCGCUGU